GAACGGCAGCACGGACUCGGUCUGGUGGCGAGUGGCGAACGGGUGAGUAAUGUAUCGGAACGUGCCGAAGUAGCGGGGAUAACUACGCGAAAGCGUAGCUAAUACCGCAUACGCCCAUCGGGGAAAGCGGGGGACCUUCGGGCCUCGCACUAUUAGAGCGGCCGAUAUCGGAUUAGCUAGUUGGUGGGGUAACGGCUCACCAAGGCGACGAUCCGUAGCUGGUUUGAGAGGACGACCAGCCGCUGGGAUGAGACCACAGCCCGGGCUCCUACGGGAGGCAGCAGUGGGGUACAGACAAUGGGGAAACCCUGAUCCAGCCAUCCCGCGUGUGCGAUGAAGGCCUUCAGGUUGUAAAGCACUUUUGGCAGGAAAGAAACGGCGCGGGAUAAUACCCCGUGCAACUGACAAACACCUGCAGAAUAAGCACCGGCUAACUACGUGCCAGCAGCCGCGGUAAUACGUAGGGUGCAAGCGUUAAUCGGAAUUACUGAGGCGUAAAGCGUGCGCAGGCGGUUCGGAAAGAUGUGAAAUCCCAGAGCUUAACUUUGGAACUGCAUUUUUAACUACCGAGCUAGAGUGUGUAUCAGAGGGAGGUGGAAUUCCGCGUGUAGCAGUGAAAUGCGUAGAUAUGCGGAGGAACACCGAUGGCGAAGGCAGCCUCCUGGGAGGUAACACUGACGCUCAUGCACAACGUGGGGAGCAAACAGGAUUAGAUACCUGGUAGUCCACGCCCUAAACGAUGUCAACUAGCUGUUGGGGCCUUCGGGCCUUGGUAGCGCAGCUAACGCGUGAAGUUGACCGCCUGGGAAGUACGGUCGCAAGAUUAAAACUCAAAGGAAUUCGGCGGGACCCGCACAAGCGGUGGAUGAUGUGGAUUAAUUCGAUGCAACGCAAAAGAGCACCUACCCUUGACAUGUCUGGAAUCCCGAAGAGAUUUGGGAGUGCUCGCAAGAGAACCGGAACACAGGUACUGCAUGGCUGUCGUCAGCUCGUGUCGUGAGAUGUUGGGUUAAGUCCCGCAACGAGCGCAACCCUUGUCGUGGAUUUAUACGAAAGGGCACUCUAAUGAGACUGCCCAUUGUUGACAAACCGGAGGAAGGUGGGGAUGACGUCAAGUCCUCAUGGCCCUUAUGGGUAGGGCUUCACACGUCAUACAAUGGUCGGGACAGAGGGUCGCCAACCCACGAGGGGAGCGUAGUCCAGAAACCCGAUCGUAGUCCGGAUCGCAGUCUGCAACUCGACUGCGUGAAGUGAAUCGCUAGUAAUCGCGGAUCAGCAUGUCGCGGUGAAUACGUUCCCGGGUCUUGUACGCACCGCCCGUCACACCAUGGGAGUGGGUUUUACCAGAAGUAGUUAGCCUAACCGUAAGGAGGGCGAUUACCACGGUAGGAUUCAUGACUGGUGAAGUCGUAACAAGGUAA
Molecule: ribosomal RNA, 1421 nt
Filed under: uncultured Bordetella sp.
Lineage: Bacteria; Pseudomonadati; Pseudomonadota; Betaproteobacteria; Burkholderiales; Alcaligenaceae
Description: partial 16S-23S ribosomal RNA intergenic spacer
Rfam family: Bacterial small subunit ribosomal RNA
Source: RNAcentral